GGAGCACAGGUGCUGCAUGGCUGUCGUCAGCUCGUGUCGUGAGAUGUUGGGUUAAGUCCCGCAACGAGCGCAACCCCCGUCCUUAGUUGCUACCAUUUAGUUGAGCACUCUAAGGAGACUGCCGGUGAUAAGCCGCGAGGAAGGUGGGGAUGACGUCAAGUCCUCAUGGCCCUUACGGGCUGGGCUACACACGUGCUACAAUGGCGGUGACAAUGGGACGCUAAGGGGCAACCCUUCGCAAAUCUCAAAAAGCCGUCUCAGUUCGGAUUGGGCUCUGCAACUCGAGCCCAUGAAGUUGGAAUCGCUAGUAAUCGUGGAUCAGCACGCCACGGUGAAUACGUUCCCGGGCCUUGUACACACCGCCCGUCACACCAUGGGAGUUGGUUUUACCUGAAGGUAGUGCGCUAACCCGCAAGGGAGGCAGCUAA
RNAcentral lists this ribosomal RNA (428 nucleotides) under maize root bacterium ZmrIs5. RNAcentral's name for it is "bacterial SSU rRNA". It matches the Rfam family "Bacterial small subunit ribosomal RNA", at positions 1029 to 1456 of the family's 1533-position model. The record is from RNAcentral.